This 2964-nucleotide long non-coding RNA is filed under the name Malus domestica (apple). RNAcentral's name for it is "long non-coding RNA (MDOM_LNC018410)". Lineage: Eukaryota; Viridiplantae; Streptophyta; Magnoliopsida; Rosales; Rosaceae. The record is from RNAcentral.
UUGAAGGCAAAGUGGGUCUUCAAUAUUUACUUUUCUUUGAGCAGACUCCCACGUAAGGGGUUCAGUUAUUUCACCCCCUCUGCUUGCGAGAUGGUUUCAAAGGAAUCCUCUUUUUCCUUGGCUCUUGACGCACAGUGUUCUUCUACCAGAAGCUAAAGGCAGCUCCCGUUGAUUUUGCCAUAUUUUUUGAAAUUCCUUUUGGAUUUGUCAGCCGUUGAUUUCCAAACGAAGAUGGGUAAGCUUGGUGGAAUUCAAACUCUUUUGAAUUAUUCUAAUUUAUCUUCUUUCCUUAAACUGUAGAGACCUUUUUAUGUAGGUCACAGACUCUCUUUUCUUUCUGCUGUACCAUCUUGCUUAUGCUUCUCUUGUGUACCGAAAAUUCAAAGUGAAAAGGAGAAAAUAACCAGCAGGUCAUACCAUUUUCGUUUUCUAUUUUCUGUACUUGAUUUGGAGUGGGUUGAAGCUGCUCUGAACUAUGAUAAAUUUUUUUAUGUAGGCGUCGCAGGCUUGGCUGUUGGAUACACUAUUUGCAGUACCGAGUUCGUUGAAAACAAUUAUUGACUCAUGGCUCCAAAGGUGAGAUUCUGCAUUUAGAAGUUUGUAGUAACGUGCUCAUAGUAUCUGCUAUACUUUUGAAUGGGUUUUGAUGUAUUAUCACUCUCUGGCAUUUCUGUUUCCGCAUAAAGGAUUAUUUGACUGGUCUUAACAGUGGACAUUUGGACACCUCUUUUGUGUUCCCAUUUAUGUUUUGCCUCUGAUAUUUAACACUUGCAUAAAGUGAUACUUUUCCCAAAAUCUUUUGUAGUCUUGAUUUGUCUUCUAGUUCUUUGGGUGUUAAUAUGAAGGCUGCCAUGUGGGUGAGUUUUCUGAUUAAUUUGGAAGGUUUGACAGUAAACUUUUUUCUUUUUUUUUUUUAUUGAACUUGAGACAGCUUGAACCCUUUUUAAUCUAACUUUUCCGUGGUAAGGGAACAAAUGUCCUUUAGCUAUGUAUUUAGAGGUUGGCAUGGUCAACAUUUUUGACCCAAUGUUUGAUCAAACUGAUAGUCACACUUAGGUCCUUCGAAAGACGUCUUCUUCUUUUCCUUUGUCUUUAUUAAAAGUUGAUUUGAAGAAUUUUUCUUUUGUGGAAUUGGACCAAGCAUGAGUCGGUCAAGGGCAGUUUUGGCUUCCUUUUCCUUUGCUAACCAUCUUUUCCAUUUUCUCCUUUUUCUUGGACUUUAUCCCCAAUAAGUUUUCAUAUAAUUUUUAGCCAAAGCCAUCCUCCAUGUUUUGUACCCGUGGGUAGCAAAAACAAAAACACCAAAUAGAAUAAUUUAUUUUCUCUUUCUUGAGUUGCAUCUUUGUAUAUGUUGACUCCUUGCUGUCUUACUUCUCAGGAACUCAAGCUUAGAACUUUGAAAUUGCACUUGACAAUCUGGCGAAUGAGUAGACCAUUUAAACUUGGUUAAAAUUUCACGGGGUGGUCUAGGCCACCCCGAAGAAAUUCAUGGGAUUCUUGGAGAUUAUCUCUGCUGCAGCUGGGGAGUCAGUGGAUAUUUAGAGUCUCCAACUCCAUUUAAUUGGUGAAGAACGCCAAACAAAGAGGCAAAGGUCUUAUAUGCUCUUGCUUGUUUCCCUUUCCUCAUUCAUUGCAGCUUUUUAUUUUUGUGUUUGCUGCCACAAUUUUUUUUGUUCUUCUUGCAACAUAACAUCAAACAAGAGAAAAAGAAUAAUUUUAAAAGAACUUGCUUCAUACCUGGUGAUGAAUGUUCUUCUUUUGGAUCUUGAUUCAAAAGCACAAAAUGGUUGAAUAGCUUGCUCUCUUUCCUGGCAGCACCUUGUUGCUUUUGGUAUUUUCUCUAAAAGUUGCUUCUUAUUUUCUACAGAGUUUCCCCUCUUUUUUCUGUCUCCUCCCUUUUUACUUGCUGCAGGUGAUGCUUAUUUAUAGGCAUCCUAGGAAAGCUCUAGAAUUUGUUACGUGGGGGAGAGGUAGAGGCCAUGACCUCCUGCCACUUUCUGUUAACCACCAUUUCUGACUCCACGUUCCUUUUUGUUUGCAGAAAAUGGGGAGCACCUUUUUUUUUCUUUUGUGCACGUUACUUCCCCCCUUUUGUAGGAGAAAAUAAAUUUUAUUUGUGGGUAAAAGCCCAUCCUCAUCUUUUGGGCUUGGAUUACACCUUGUAGUUUGACCCCAUUUGUGUGGACUCUAUUUUUUCAUAUGUUUAUUAUUAUUAUUUUGUUUUUGUUCAACACCCCUAUGUACCCUAGUUUGGUUAUAUGUUAUUUCCCUUAAGUUUGAAUGGUUUUGGGAGGUCUUUGGGUGAAAAAUGUUCAUGGAGAUUUUUGAAUUUUUCAUGAAUGUUCUUCAUUGUUCUUGAUAUUUUAGCAAAGAACAAAAAGUUUGGUGUUUUGAUUCAAAGUUUUGAUUUAUUUCAUAAAGUUUUUGUUUUGUGCUUUUCAAAUGUUUAAAUGUGUUAGAUAUUUAUUUAGAAAGGUGAUAGAAAUAUUGAUGGGUGUGUAAGGAUUAAUUCCCUUUCACACACACCACUUGCAUGACUUUUGUGUCAUGCACCUCAUGCAUGACUUUAUGUCAAAACUACAAAUCAACACACACAUCACUCCCUUUAAUAUCUAAAACCGGCCACCCUAUUAAAAUAGGGUACUUUUGGGGCUUUUAUGCAAUUACAUUUGUGUAUUUGCACUUUGGCCCAAAAGUUUAUGUUUUUACGUUUAGGUCCAAAAAUGCUAAAGGACAAAUAGUUUUGUUCCUUUAAUGAAGUUUUUGUAUUUGUUGAAAUUUUUAGGUUCUAGUUGUAAUUACAUGAAGUAGUGGACUUUUGUGUUUUUACAAAGUGACCCCAAAAGUUUGUGUUUCGCAAUAUAGCCCAAAAAGUUGUGGUUAUUGCAUGUUGGCCCAAAUUAGGUAGAGAACAAAAUUGUUUUGUCUCUUUAAAUGAGAAUUGGAUUUUCAUUUCAUUUAGCU